UGGGGCGCAAGCCUGAUCCAGCCAUACCGCGUGGGUGAAGAAGGCCUUCGGGUUGUAAAGCCCUUUUGUUGGGAAAGAAAUCCAGCCGGCUAAUACCUGGUUGGGAUGACGGUACCCAAAGAAUAAGCACCGGCUAACUUCGUGCCAGCAGCCGCGGUAAUACGAAGGGUGCAAGCGUUACUCGGAAUUACUGGGCGUAAAGCGUGCGUAGGUGGUUAUUUAAGUCCGUUGUGAAAGCCCUGGGCUCAACCUGGGAACUGCAGUGGAUACUGGAUGACUAGAAUGUGGUAGAGGGUAGCGGAAUUCCUGGUGUAGCAGUGAAAUGCGUAGAGAUCAGGAGGAACAUCCAUGGCGAAGGCAGCUACCUGGACCAACAUUGACACUGAGGCACGAAAGCGUGGGGAGCAAACAGGAUUAGAUACCCUGGUAGUCCCAA
This 436-nucleotide ribosomal RNA is filed under the name Stenotrophomonas maltophilia. RNAcentral's name for it is "bacterial SSU rRNA". It matches the Rfam family "Bacterial small subunit ribosomal RNA", at positions 371 to 798 of the family's 1533-position model. Lineage: Bacteria; Pseudomonadati; Pseudomonadota; Gammaproteobacteria; Lysobacterales; Lysobacteraceae. The record is from RNAcentral.